Molecule: ribosomal RNA, 481 nt
Filed under: uncultured bacterium
Lineage: Bacteria
Description: bacterial SSU rRNA
Rfam family: Bacterial small subunit ribosomal RNA
Source: RNAcentral
AUGAACGCUGGCGGCGUGCCUAACACAUGCAAGUCGAAUGGAGUUCUUAAGGAAUGCGACUUCGGUCAAAUGACUUUUGAACUUAGUGGCGGACGGGUGAGUAACGCGUGAGCAACCUGCCUUUCAGAGGGGGAUAACAUUUGGAAACAGAUGCUAAUACCGCAUAAGAUUACAGUACCGCAUGAUACAGUGAUCAAAGGAGCAAUCCGCUGAAAGAUGGGCUCGCGUCCGAUUAGAUAGUUGGUGAGGUAACGGCCCACCAAGGCGACGAUCAGUAGCCGACCUGAGAGGGUGACCGGCCACAUUGGGACUGAGACACGGCCCAGACUCCUACGGGAGGCAGCAGUGGGGAAUAUUGCACAAUGGAGGAAACUCUGAUGCAGCGACGCCGCGUGAGUGAAGAAGUAAUUCGUUAUGUAAAGCUCUAUCAGCAGGGAAGAUAGCGACGGUACCUGACUAAGAAGCUCCGGCUAACUACGUG